CGGACGAGUGAGUAAUGUCUGGGAAACUGCCCGAUGGAGGGGGAUAACUACUGGAAACGGUAGCUAAUACCGCAUAACGUCGCAAGACCAAAGAGGGGGACCUUCGGGCCUCUUGCCAUCGGAUGUGCCCAGAUGGGAUUAGCUAGUAGGUGGGGUAACGGCUCACCUAGGCGACGAUCCCUAGCUGGUCUGAGAGGAUGACCAGCCACACUGGAACUGAGACACGGCCCAG
Molecule: ribosomal RNA, 232 nt
Filed under: uncultured bacterium
Lineage: Bacteria
Description: partial 16S ribosomal RNA
Rfam family: Bacterial small subunit ribosomal RNA
Source: RNAcentral